GCACAAGACAGCAUUUGGGCUGGGACAUCUGUCACCCCUCUGAUCACAGGGUUGGUUUGGCUGAUCUAGUUGGCUAGGCAGGUGUCUCCUUUCUCCCUCACUGUUCCAUGUAUGUCCCUCUCAAAGCUGUAUGCUUGGUUGAAGAGAACAACCUUCCCUGAUAGAGAACCAUUCUUUGGUCAAGGGUAUAUAAGCAGCCUGUGCUCCCCAGCUAGAACCUCCAAACAAACCCUCAAGAAAGCACUUGGAAAUCCCACCUCAGAAAGCUCUAUGCAAGAAUGAGGCCAGAGAGUAUGUAAACCAUACGCUUGUGAAAGCAUGUGCUUGAGU
This 330-nucleotide small nuclear RNA is filed under the name Castor canadensis (American beaver). Its description in RNAcentral is "7SK RNA (ENSCCNG00000017487.1)". It matches the Rfam family "7SK RNA". From Rfam's summary of the family: 7SK was discovered as an abundant small nuclear RNA in the mid-70s but a possible function has only recently been suggested. Two independent studies have found that 7SK RNA binds the CDK9/cyclin T complex (known as elongation factor P-TEFb). The record is from RNAcentral. Lineage: Eukaryota; Metazoa; Chordata; Mammalia; Rodentia; Castoridae.